CGGUGACACAUCGCUGGGGACACUCGUCAGUUCAACAUGACUUCUUUGGCCGGCCUGAGUCACGUCCUUUUAAUUCUUGUCCUUUGCCAAGGAUCCGCGGCAGAAUCGGACCCCUUUCACUAUGAUUACAAGACUCUUCGCACCGGGGGUCUGAUCUUCGCUGGAUUGAUGCUUCUGUUGGGAUUGGUCGUCCUUAUAGCUGACUUUAAAUGCCUUAAACGCAGUAGAAUACAAUCGACAUAGAGACACAACGUAUUUGGUUUGCCUAGAGAAAUCCUGGAAAAUCUCUUCAGAUAGAGAUGUUGGAUGACGUCCAGGAUGUGACCAUCCAGGGUCGCAGGGAGAGAGGGAAUUCUAUAUUUAUAAUAAUGUUCCAAGUCUUUGGUUUAUAACUGGUCCUGACUGGAUUUACCAGACUGCAAGGAUGAGAUUGGAGAUUCGGUCCCAGAUCAAGAAAUUGUAUCCAUUCAUUGCAAUCUCCCCAUCAGAACUCACAUUAAUCAGAGCGUCCCUCCAAACGUUUAUAGAGUCCAGUGGAUAGCUGUGAUGAG
Pelobates fuscus (common spadefoot toad) is the source of this 551-nucleotide long non-coding RNA. RefSeq lists it as uncharacterized. The record is from RefSeq and is a predicted model, not a curated record. The transcript is spliced from 6 exons. NCBI's taxonomy places the organism in Eukaryota, Metazoa, Chordata, Amphibia, Anura, Pelobatidae.